GAGGAAAAAAUCCCCGUUGGAGACAAUGAAGGCUUGCGGCGGCCAUCUUGGAUGUUUCCAUGGCAACCGGUGGCAACAUCACCUGGAAAAGACUCCAUUUCAAUUGUUAAUAUGUAUACCUCAAAGUUGUAACCAAUUAAAACUAACAAAUACUU
Molecule: long non-coding RNA, 155 nt
Organism: Haliotis rufescens (red abalone)
Lineage: Eukaryota; Metazoa; Mollusca; Gastropoda; Lepetellida; Haliotidae
Exons: 2
Source: RefSeq, a predicted model, not a curated record